UACGUAGGCAGCAAGCGUUGUUCGGAUUUACUGGGCGUAAAGAGUGCGUAGGCGGUCCUGUAAGUUUGGUGUGAAAUCUCCCGGCUCAACCGGGAGGGUGCGCCGAAGACUGCAGGGCUUGAGUAUGGGAGAGGUAAGCGGAAUUCCUGGUGUAGCGGUGAAAUGCGUAGAUAUCAGGAGGAACACCUGUGGUGUAGACAGCUUACUGGACCAUAACUGACGCUGAGGCACGAAAGCGUGGGUAGCAAACAGG
This 253-nucleotide ribosomal RNA is filed under the name uncultured bacterium. RNAcentral describes it as "partial 16S ribosomal RNA". It matches the Rfam family "Bacterial small subunit ribosomal RNA", at positions 524 to 776 of the family's 1533-position model. The record is from RNAcentral.